This is a non-coding RNA of Nicotiana tabacum (common tobacco), 1228 nucleotides long. NCBI's taxonomy places the organism in Eukaryota, Viridiplantae, Streptophyta, Magnoliopsida, Solanales, Solanaceae. The record is from RefSeq and is a predicted model, not a curated record.
UUAAGGAAUUAAAAGAAAAUGAAAGGAAAAAAGAAAAGAGUGAAAUUGGGCCAAAUCGAAACUGGGCCAAUUUCAAUGCAAAAUCAGGCCCAAAUCAUAUCAAACGAUCCAAUCCAAUAGGCCUGGUCUCUCAGACAGUCCAAACGACGCCGUUUCGGCGCCUCAGAUCUAAGCCGUUGAUUUGUUUCCAUCAGACGACUCAUUUCAACCCAGCAUUAUUUGAAACGACGCCGUUUUAGGCAAGUUGAUCCUAGCCGUCCGUUCCCAAUGUUCUAACGGUCCCAGCCUUCCCCCAUAACCCGGUCCAUUUCAACCCGGGUCGACCCAGUCUCGAUGCAUGACCAAAUGUCACCGUUUCCUUUAAGUGAAUUGAUCCAGGCCAUUGAUCGUGCUUGAUCCAACGGCCAAGAUUAAACCACCCCCUCUGUAUAUAACCCUAAUCCCUUACCCCACGCCCCAAACCAAACCCCCCCUCACCCCAUCGUCUCCCUCAAGCUCAGAGACGGACCAGACCCAAACCCUAGCCUCCAUUGUUACACCUCCGUUUGAAACCCGGCGGCAACAACGCCGCCGGUCACCAAAUUAACACCCCUAAUCUAUCUGACCACCCUUGUUACAAAUCUGCUAACCGUUUGCCUCGAAUCAACCUCCAGCUUCUCGAAUCUUCAAUCGAAGAUUCGAGCAGAACCUAAACCUACGCCAACCAGUCCCAAACGCAUACCGGAUAUCUCUCUGACCUCCCUCAUCACCAAACUACCAUUGGUUUGGUUCGAAUCAGACCAGAACCGUUUAAACCCCAAAUCGAACCCCCAAGAACCCUAGAAAACCAAAGGUUGAAAUCUAUCCAAAUUAAAGGAAGUUAGGUGGACCUUAGUCGAAGUGUUCUCAGUUGAGAAUACUCGAUUAAGGUCCGUUCGACCUCAAUUAAAGGUCCGAGUCAGAGUCCAAGUCAGGGUCGUCCAGCUUCUGAGUUCGGAGGUACACUACUUUGAAUCAUCUUGGUGUAUGCUCAUUGAAGCCGAAAUGAAAUGGCCAGAGGAUUUAUUGUUCAAACUAUAGAAUGCUUGUAUUCUAUUUGAUAUUAGUUAUGUGUUUCCUAUUACAUGAAUAAUAAACGACUGUAUAAUUCGGACUAUUUAUAAGUUAUUUGGGCUGUUUGAUUUAGGGACUAUUUGGACUUUGGAAUGUGAUUAUGUAAUAGUCAUAUGGGUUUAGUUUUGUUUUUGCA